This is a non-coding RNA of Prunus avium (sweet cherry), 399 nucleotides long. The record is from RefSeq and is a predicted model, not a curated record. Lineage: Eukaryota; Viridiplantae; Streptophyta; Magnoliopsida; Rosales; Rosaceae.
GCUGGCAAAAUAGUCGUGAUCACCGUCGUCCUCAAUUUCUAACAGAUACUAGAUCAUCAAUGCCUUCACAUGAUGGACGUCCACCACUGCUCCCAACACCACCAUAUCAACCUCCUUUUCAGUUUCAAGAAACCUGUCAGAUGUGCAACCGGCAAGGCCACACUUCACGUGUAUGUCCUGAUCGUGGUAAUUACGCCUACAUGGCAGAGUCCAACACCUCCAAUAUCCCUUCACCAUCUGUUCCUACUAACACAAGUUGGUGUGUUGACUCCGGGGCAACCCAUCAUAUGGUGUCCAGUCCUUCUCAACUCCCCUUUGUGAAGCCAUAUACAGGACAAUAUGACGGGGAGGACAUUACUCACUGGCAGUAGCUCUGGCGACUUGUACCAUAUUCAAGCA